RNAcentral lists this transfer RNA (68 nucleotides) under Marmota monax (woodchuck). RNAcentral's name for it is "tRNA.Ala". The record is from RNAcentral. Lineage: Eukaryota; Metazoa; Chordata; Mammalia; Rodentia; Sciuridae.
GAUGUGGCUCAAGUGGUAGCGCGCUCGCCUGGCAUGCGUGCGGCCUGGGUUCGAUGCUCAGCAAGACA